Molecule: ribosomal RNA, 887 nt
Filed under: uncultured marine group I thaumarchaeote
Lineage: Archaea; Thermoproteati; Nitrososphaerota
Description: SSU rRNA
Rfam family: Archaeal small subunit ribosomal RNA
Source: RNAcentral
GACUGCUAUCGGAUGAUACUAAGCCAUGCGAGUCUUGCAGUAAUGCAAGGCAUACGGCUCAGUAACACGUAGUCAACCUACCCUAUGGACGAGAAUAAUCUCGGGAAACUGAGCAUAAUUCUUGAUAGAUCAUAAUGCCUGGAAUGGUUUAUGGUUAAAAUGAUUCGUCGCCAUAGGAUGGGACUGCGGCCUAUCAGCUUGUUGGUGAGGUAAUGGCCCACCAAGGCGAUUACAGGUACGGGCUCUGAGAGGAGAAGCCCGGAGAUGGGUACUGAGACACGGACCCAGGCCCUAUGGGGCGCAGCAGGCGAGAAAACUUUGCAAUGUGCGAAAGCACGACAAGGUUAAUCCGAGUGAUUUCUGCUAAAGAAAUCUUUUGCCAGUCAUAAAACCACUGGUGAAUAAGGGGUGGGCAAGUUCUGGUGUCAGCCGCCGCGGUAAAACCAGCACCUCAAGUGGUCAGGAUGAUUAUUGGGCCUAAAGCAUCCGUAGCCGGCUUUGUUAGUUUUCGGUUAAAUCCAUGUGCUCAACAUACAGGCCGCCGGGAAUACUGCAGGGCUAGGGAGUGGGAGAGGUAGACGGUACUCGGGAGGAAGUGGUAAAAUGCUUUGAUCUCUCGAUGACCACCUGUGGCGAAGGCGGUCUACCAGAACACGUCCGACGGUGAGGGAUGAAAGCUGGGGGAGCAAACCGGACUAGAUACCCGGGUAGUCCCAGCCGUAAACUAUGCAAACUCAGUGAUGCAUUGGCUUGUGGCCAAUGCAGUGUUGCAGGGAAGCCGUUAAGUUUGCCGCCUGGGAAGUACGUACGCAAGUAUGAAACUUAAAGGAAUUGGCGGGGGAGCACCACAAGGGUGAAGCCUGCGGUUCAAUUGGAUUCACCGCCGG